Molecule: non-coding RNA, 149 nt
Organism: Lonchura striata (white-rumped munia)
Lineage: Eukaryota; Metazoa; Chordata; Aves; Passeriformes; Estrildidae
Source: RefSeq, a predicted model, not a curated record
GAACCAGCUAAAGGACUAUGAACUUAGAGUGGAACAAGAAGCAAAGAUCUCAGUUAAACCUAAAACUGUUGAAAGGAAAAAAACAGAUACUCUGACCGGCAAGGGAGAAAAACAGAUACUGAGAGGAAGACACAGUGUUCCAGGAAACC